This 253-nucleotide ribosomal RNA is filed under the name uncultured bacterium. Its description in RNAcentral is "partial 16S ribosomal RNA". It matches the Rfam family "Bacterial small subunit ribosomal RNA", at positions 524 to 776 of the family's 1533-position model. The record is from RNAcentral.
GACGAACCGUCCUAACGUUGUUCGGAAUCACUGGGCUUAAAGGGCGCGUAGGCGGGCUGCCAAGUCUAGGGUGAAAUCUUUCGGCUUAACCGGAAAAUAGCCUUGGAUACUGGUGGUCUCGAGGGAGGUAGGGGUCGUUGGAACUUCCGGUGGAGCGGUGAAAUGCGUUGAUAUCGGAAGGAACGCCGGUGGCGAAAGCGAACGACUGGACCUCUUCUGACGCUGAGGCGCGAAAGCCAGGGGAGCAAACGGG